UACGGAGGGUGCAAACGUUAUCCGGAAUUACUGGGCGUAAAGAGCGUGUAGGUGGUUUGGUAAGUGGACGAUUAAAGACCGCUGCUUAACAGCGGGACUGUUGUCCAUACUGCCAGACUAGAGGGUGACAGGGGCAAGCGGAACUUUAGGUGUAGGAGUGAAAUCCGUAGAUAUCUAAAGGAACACCAAUGGCGAAGGCAGCUUGCUGGGUCAUUUCUGACACUGAGACGCGAAAGCGUGGGGAGCGAACGGG
RNAcentral lists this ribosomal RNA (253 nucleotides) under uncultured bacterium. RNAcentral describes it as "partial 16S ribosomal RNA". It matches the Rfam family "Bacterial small subunit ribosomal RNA", at positions 524 to 776 of the family's 1533-position model. The record is from RNAcentral.